RNAcentral lists this unclassified non-coding RNA (240 nucleotides) under soil metagenome. RNAcentral describes it as "partial contains 5.8S ribosomal RNA, internal transcribed spacer 2, and large subunit ribosomal RNA". The record is from RNAcentral.
AACGCACGAGACCUGCGGACCUGCGGAGGGAUCAUUACCGAGUUUUCACUCACAACCCAUUGCGAACCUACCACUGUUGCUUCGGCGGAGGCACCAGGUCGGGCCCCUCCCCCAGGGAGGGCGUCCCCCCCGGAGCCAUGCCGCCGCCGGAGGCCCAAAGACGCAGUUUCUUACCGAGUCUCUCUCUGAGAUGGCCCUCGUCGGCCUGAAAAACAAAAAAUGAAUCAAAACUUUUAACAA